GUCCCCUUAGUUAAAUGGAUAUAACGAGCCCCUCUUAAGGGCUAGUUGCAGGUUCGAUUCCUGCAGGGGACACCA
Molecule: transfer RNA, 75 nt
Filed under: Serratia fonticola
Lineage: Bacteria; Pseudomonadati; Pseudomonadota; Gammaproteobacteria; Enterobacterales; Yersiniaceae
Description: tRNA-Lys(ctt)
Rfam family: tRNA
About the family: Transfer RNA (tRNA) molecules are approximately 80 nucleotides in length. Their secondary structure includes four short double-helical elements and three loops (D, anti-codon, and T loops).
Source: RNAcentral